GCGCACACUGAUAAGAAAACAACAACUUCCGGUGGCAGAAAAAAAGGGACAAUAUGAAUUGAAACCGUAGCGUAAAUACGGCAAAAAAGUGUGUGCCGCGCCACAUUCCGCGCCGAGAAAUGGGAAGGCAGUCAUAUAUUCAUGAGAGGGGCCAAAAUCAGUGAGGGGGCAAGAGAUGGAUGGAGGAGACCGGUCUCC
This is a non-coding RNA of Caenorhabditis elegans, 198 nucleotides long. Lineage: Eukaryota; Metazoa; Nematoda; Chromadorea; Rhabditida; Rhabditidae. The record is from Ensembl.